CAACAGCGGUAAGGUGGUACUAUUCGUAAGUCCUACUUAUUGAUCAACACUACUCAUAUUAUCAUAUAAAGGACAGAGUAGGCAAAUGGUUGAGGACACUAUUGCUAAACAUAAAGCCAAGCCUCCAGGUGUUGUGUGUAUCAAUCAGCCCACUGGAGAUAUAUCAAUCUUUUAAUAAAUUAUAAGGUCUCCACUGCUUGAUACUUCACCAAAUGCUGGCUACACCAGAAGAUUACUAAAUGUUCUUAACACUUAAUAACUACCACAAGCAUUACUUCUGGGUCACUCUGAAGGGUCCAAUCGUUCAAUUACUGAAAUGAUAAAGUUGAUGAAAUUGCUCAAAAAUUGUCUGGCACCUUCUUAACUCAGAGGCAUAGGAAUGUGGAUGGAUUAUGACAUACCUUGCACAAAUCAACAACCAGGCUUAUAUUGGAUUUGAAUCCCAAAGGAAAGAGAAAGUCUGUUAUCCAAAACAAACAUGGAAAAUAUCAGAAACCAACAAAGCACAAGCAGGCAGAAUGUCAUGGACCCAACUUUGGGGAAUCUCCCAAAACCAAGUAUAAAAAGAGAGAGGUGUGGUUGUGUCUCUCAGCUCCACAAGGGUCAACAAGAAUGAGGACAACAGUGAUUUUCGUAAUAAUUUUAGAUCAGAUUUUCAAUUUUUUUUAUCAGUUGGAUCAGUUUAACAGUUUCAUACAAAUUGCAUUUAAAUACUUAACAAAAAGAAAAGAUUCUCUUACCAAAAUAGUCUAAGAAAAAUGCUGAUUUGUAAAUUAAUAAAUUGUUUCCUUUUGUAAUAAUAUAAUAAUUUAAGUUUGCAUUGUAUAUAUGUUUAGUGUAGAUUUAGUGUCCUAAAUGAAAUGCAAUAUACAAUAUAGGUACAUUUUUUUCUUUAAAGAAUUAGUUGCAAAUUUCUUUCAUUAUUUUGUUUCACUGUACAAUCUGAAAAAAGUUUGCUACAUUUGUAUUGACAAUACUUCUGCUGGUGAUAUUUAUUUCUAAUUAAUGAAGUAAAUUAAUAUAUUAACUGUACUAUAAUUAAAUACCUCACACUCGAGGCAAAAAAAAACAUAUUUAUUGAAUAUCGCAGUGAUAUUCCUGAUCUACACAAUGCGUAUAAACCCUCGAACCAUCGGUCUUUUGAAAGAUUGUACAUUUUGUAUACACAAUGGCAUUCAUUUCAACACUAUUUAACCACAAACUAUAAUCUAGAGAUCCUGAACAUAUUUUAGCUCUGUUAUUUAUGGACAAGGUAGACUCGUCCAGCAUUAAACUGUAAUCUACCUUAAUUAGAAUACUUAAACAAGCUAUGCAAUUAAAUGUUGUUAGACAAAUAUUUUAUACUUUUUAUUUUUAAUGAUAUGUUUACGUAUCAUAGUACAAGACAGCUUCUGUAUUCGUGUACAGUAAAUUAAGUUUUUACAUUAGUUUAAUUUAAACUGUACUUAACAUCUGUUACAUUAUAUGAAAAUGUUUUGUAUAUUUGUUUUAAUUAGUUUGUAUAAAAGCAAAAUGAAAGUUACUACACUAUUAUUUACAUAUU
This is a long non-coding RNA of Physella acuta, 1543 nucleotides long. RefSeq lists it as uncharacterized. The record is from RefSeq and is a predicted model, not a curated record. NCBI's taxonomy places the organism in Eukaryota, Metazoa, Mollusca, Gastropoda, Physidae.